This 410-nucleotide ribosomal RNA is filed under the name Klebsiella pneumoniae. Its description in RNAcentral is "partial 23S ribosomal RNA". It matches the Rfam family "Bacterial large subunit ribosomal RNA", at positions 25 to 474 of the family's 2925-position model. The record is from RNAcentral. Lineage: Bacteria; Pseudomonadati; Pseudomonadota; Gammaproteobacteria; Enterobacterales; Enterobacteriaceae.
UGGAUGCCCUGGCAGUCAGAGGCGAUGAAGGACGUGCUAAUCUGCGAAAAGCGUCGGUAAGGUGAUAUGAACCGUUAUAGCCGGCGAUGUCCGAAUGGGGAAACCCAGUGCAAUUCGUUGCACUAUCGUUAACUGAAUACAUAGGUUAACGAGGCGAACCGGGGGAACUGAAACAUCUAAGUACCCCGAGGAAAAGAAAUCAACCGAGAUUCCCCCAGUAGCGGCGAGCGAACGGGGAGCAGCCCAGAGUCUGAAUCAGCUUGUGUGUUAGUGGAACGGUCUGGAAAGUCCGACGGUACAGGGUGAUAGUCCCGUACACCAAAAUGCACAGGUUGUGAACUCGAAGAGUAGGGCGGGACACGUGGUAUCCUGUCUGAAUAUGGGGGGACCAUCCUCCAAGGCUAAAUACU